GUGAUUAGAGUUUGAUCCUGGCUCAGGACGAACGCUGGCGGCGUGCUUAACACAUGCAAGUCGAGCGGUAAGGCCUUUCGGGGUACACGAGCGGCGAACGGGUGAGUAACACGUGGGUGAUCUGCCCUGCACUUCGGGAUAAGCCUGGGAAACUGGGUCUAAUACCGGAUAUGACCUCCUAUCGCAUGGUGGGUGGUGGAAAGAUUUAUCGGUGCAGGAUGGGCCCGCGGCCUAUCAGCUUGUUGGUGGGGUAAUGGCCUACCAAGGCGACGACGGGUAGCCGACCUGAGAGGGGACCGGCCACACUGGGACUGAGACACCGGCCAGACUCCUACGGGAGGCAGCAGUGGGGAAUAUUGCACAAUGGGGGAAAGCCUGAUGCAGCGACGCCGCGUGAGGGAUGACGGCCUUCGGGUUGUAAACCUCUUUCAGCA
RNAcentral lists this ribosomal RNA (434 nucleotides) under Rhodococcus sp. IIPS7. Its description in RNAcentral is "bacterial SSU rRNA". It matches the Rfam family "Bacterial small subunit ribosomal RNA", at positions 1 to 441 of the family's 1533-position model. Lineage: Bacteria; Bacillati; Actinomycetota; Actinomycetes; Mycobacteriales; Nocardiaceae. The record is from RNAcentral.